AAAUUUGAUAGGGCCUCCCUACUCCAUUGCCACGAUGGACAUCUCAAAUAGUUUGGUUUGUUUGCUUGUUUUUUAAGGAAGAGGUUCAUGCCAGUUGCAGACGCACUACAGCUAUGGAAUCAAAGUACUUAACCCCCUAGGUCAAUCCUAAAUCUCUACAAGUGUGAAGUGAACGUGCUGUGGGGAAGAGUAACGGAGCUAAGGGAUCGAACUCGGGUCCUUACGCAGCAGGCAGCGAAACCACUGAGCUAAAUCCCCAGCCCAAAGGGAAGUUUAUAAGAACAGAAUUAGAAGACUAUGGAAUCAAGCUGUUUUGCUGAAGGAAUAAAGAGACACACAGCUCUUGAGCUCUGGAGAUGCAGCUCCAACUGUCAUGCUCUGGUGCUGUCCUGAUGCUGAUGAUUGACUCUCUG
Long non-coding RNA from Heterocephalus glaber (naked mole-rat), 413 nucleotides. Lineage: Eukaryota; Metazoa; Chordata; Mammalia; Rodentia; Bathyergidae. The record is from Ensembl.